Molecule: ribosomal RNA, 301 nt
Filed under: uncultured bacterium
Lineage: Bacteria
Description: partial 16S ribosomal RNA
Rfam family: Bacterial small subunit ribosomal RNA
Source: RNAcentral
CAGCAGCCACGGGAAUACGUAGGGUGCAAGCGUUAAUCGGAAUUAUUGGGCGUAAAGCGUGCGCAGGCGGUUUUGUAAGACAGAGGUGAAAUCCCCGGGCUCAACCUGGGAACUGCCUUUGUGACUGCAAGGCUGGAGUGCGGCAGAGGGGGAUGGAAUUCCGCGUGUAGCAGUGAAAUGCGUAGAUAUGCGGAGGAGCACCGAUGGCGAAGGCAAUCCCCUGGGCCUGCACUGACGCUGAGGCUCGAAAGCGUGGGGAGGGAACAGGAUUAGAUACCCCCGUAGUCCCUGUCUCUUAUAC